CUGGUGUAGGAGUGGAGCAUUAACAUCACUACAUACACACAAACUACUGGGAAGGAGCUCCCUCUGAAAACCCACAAUGGACAGCUACCAUGGUAACAUCAAAUUUGAUCUGAUUCCUUCUGUAUCUGAGUGUAGAUCAGCCUUUAUGAAAGCUGUGUGCUGGCAGUCUGAUUAUCUAUCUGUGAAAUGAGCCACAAGUGAAGCCGGCCUCUUCAGCUUCAGGAGAUGUCAUCGUUCCAGUUAUGGUUCAGUCAUUCUGAAGUAGCCAUUGCUAAAGGAGGAAGUAACAAGUGGCCAGCAAGAUUGGUCCAAAUCCCGACCUAGCUGAGAACGUGUCCAGUGAGGAGAAGUUCAGAUGCUGCCAGUCUUGAGAGGAUACGAACUCACCUCAGGACUGACCCUGGCUUCACAGUGCUCCAUUUCCUAUUCUUCUAACCAGAGACCAAGGGAUACCUUCACCAUCAAACACCACUUCCAGUGUUUGGUGCCUGUGGGCAGCUCAUCCUGAGACAGAAAUGAGCAGUGGCCCUGUGCAGUGUGUGCGAGCCAGUGCGGGGCACAGGACUACCCUCACUAGUGAUUUGACUCCAUCACAGUCAUGGGAGCACCUGUUGUUAACCUGUGCCUUGACAUCGCUAGCUUUCCUCCGGUUCUUCGAGGGAGUCAGCGGUCACUGAUCGGACCCCAGCUCCAAGACUGGACCGCCGUAAUGUCAGCUCCAGUGCAGAAAUCUGCCGCAGUUCUCUGCGGCACACUUUGACAGGCUUGACCCCCUGAAGUUGUG
This 784-nucleotide long non-coding RNA is filed under the name Rattus norvegicus (Norway rat). RNAcentral describes it as "long non-coding RNA NONRATT012750". The record is from RNAcentral. Lineage: Eukaryota; Metazoa; Chordata; Mammalia; Rodentia; Muridae.